This 74-nucleotide transfer RNA is filed under the name Podarcis lilfordi (Lilford's wall lizard). RNAcentral describes it as "tRNA.Lys". The stretch from base 10 to 66 matches the Rfam family "tRNA", at positions 9 to 63 of the family's 71-position model. Rfam says of the family: Transfer RNA (tRNA) molecules are approximately 80 nucleotides in length. Their secondary structure includes four short double-helical elements and three loops (D, anti-codon, and T loops). Lineage: Eukaryota; Metazoa; Chordata; Lepidosauria; Squamata; Lacertidae. The record is from RNAcentral.
AUCUGGAACAGCUCAGUUGGUAAAGCAUGAGACUCUUAAUCUCAGGGUUGUGGGUUUGAGCCCCACAUCGGGCA